GACAUCAUCCUGACCCAGACACCAAGAUCCCUGUUAACAUCUUUUGGAAAGAGGCACUCAAUCUUUUAUCAAGCAACUGCCCAUGUACAUGGAGAAAUCAGUUGGUUCCAGAUGAAACUGGACAGGGAUUUGCACUCGUUAUAUCUCAUAUCUCUAAUGUGCCCAAAAAUGUCCCGGCCUGGUUCCGUGGGAGGGGAAGUGGAUCCAACUACAUCAGCAUCAGUGGGCUGCAGCCU
This 236-nucleotide long non-coding RNA is filed under the name Homo sapiens (human). RNAcentral's name for it is "non-protein coding lnc-EIF2AK3-27:1". Lineage: Eukaryota; Metazoa; Chordata; Mammalia; Primates; Hominidae. The record is from RNAcentral.